GGUCUACUGGCGCAAUGGUAGCGUAUCAGCCUUCUACGUAUCUUUCCGUGCGUGAAAGGCGAGCUGAGGGUUGCGGGUUCGAGCCCCGCGUGGACCU
Malassezia cuniculi is the source of this 97-nucleotide non-coding RNA. The record is from the annotation of a GenBank genome assembly. Lineage: Eukaryota; Fungi; Basidiomycota; Malasseziomycetes; Malasseziales; Malasseziaceae.